CCUGAUAAGAUCCAAGGGCUGCUUUUUGUAUAUACUUCGCGGAUGAGCCCACUCCCUGUACAGAAGAUACCGUUCGCUUGGGCAGCUGAGAUCCUCUGACUUAUGGCUGAAGUUGCACUGCGAAGCAGAAGCAAACAAGGAUGUUACCGGCUAGAGAAGUGUUCUUGAAUUUGAGGAGCUCCUGUCAUCUCAGAACGGAGUCCUUAAAAAACGUCAACACUCUGCAGUAUUGCCAUCGUGACAAGAACCCUGACAGAUGCCUUUUUAAAAGCCUUGUGAUAUUCCAGGACACACUAAGAAAAUGAUAUUUCAGGGGGAAAGAGCCUGUGUUCCAGAAAAUGACUUUCCAGCCAUUUUAAAACCUAUGGUUAGCAUUCCUUAAAGGUGAUCUGCAGAAAAGAAGAGGAACAAGAAAAGUCACAAAGAAAAAGAAAAAGAGUGUGAAAACGCCUAUAGCGAUUUUUUC
This is a long non-coding RNA of Mirounga angustirostris (Northern elephant seal), 466 nucleotides long. RefSeq lists it as uncharacterized. Lineage: Eukaryota; Metazoa; Chordata; Mammalia; Carnivora; Phocidae. The record is from RefSeq and is a predicted model, not a curated record. The transcript has 3 exons.